UACAGGGGGUGCAAGCGUUACUCGGAAUCAUUGGGCGUAAAGAGCGUGUAGGCGGUUCGGUAAGUCUCAUGUGAAAGCCCUGGGCUCAAUCCAGGAAGUGCAUGAGAUACUGCCAAACUAGAGUGCAGGAGAGGUGAGCGGAAUUCCAGGUGUAGAGGUGAAAUUCGUAGAUAUCUGGAGGAACAACAGCGGCGAAGGCGGCUCACUGGACUGUAACUGACGCUUAGGCGCGAAAGCGUGGGGAGCAAACAGG
This 253-nucleotide ribosomal RNA is filed under the name uncultured bacterium. RNAcentral describes it as "partial 16S ribosomal RNA". It matches the Rfam family "Bacterial small subunit ribosomal RNA", at positions 524 to 776 of the family's 1533-position model. The record is from RNAcentral.